This is a non-coding RNA of Acanthosepion pharaonis, 86 nucleotides long. The record is from the annotation of a GenBank genome assembly. NCBI's taxonomy places the organism in Eukaryota, Metazoa, Mollusca, Cephalopoda, Sepiida, Sepiidae.
UUCCCGUACCAUCACCGAAGUUAAGCAACGUCGUGCCUGUCCUGUACCUCGAUGGGUGACCAAUUUGGAAUACCAGGUGCUGUAAG